Molecule: non-coding RNA, 72 nt
Organism: Phrynosoma platyrhinos (Desert horned lizard)
Lineage: Eukaryota; Metazoa; Chordata; Lepidosauria; Squamata; Phrynosomatidae
Source: the annotation of a GenBank genome assembly
GCCAGUGUGGUAUAGUGGUCUGAGUGUUGGAUUAUGACUCUAGAGACCAGGAUUUGAUUCCCAGCUCAGCCA